This 3578-nucleotide long non-coding RNA is filed under the name Sus scrofa (pig). Its description in RNAcentral is "lncRNA (ENSSSCG00055006803.1)". Lineage: Eukaryota; Metazoa; Chordata; Mammalia; Artiodactyla; Suidae. The record is from RNAcentral.
GUCCCAAAUUGCCAAUCAUCCCCUGGGCCCCACUGGGGGGCCAAACUGCCUCUGGUUGAGAACCACCUAGUUUAGUAGGACACUAGGUUCCUACAGUAUAUUACAUUGCAGUAUCAUAAAGAAGUAAAUUAUAUGAAUAAACCCAUCUUUCUAACUUUAUCUCCCUAGUUUUAAUAUCCAAGUAUCAACUGAAAAGGAGUGGGAGGUUUAUUGUACUCCAUACAGAAAUUCACAUUCAUACAACCUAAAAGUAUGGGUUUGGGUAGCCAAGGGCCUAAGAUUAUCUUUUGUUGGUUUUGAUAAUAACAGCAAUAACAGCUUUCAUUUAUGGAGGGGUAAUUACCGUGCCCCAUCCUGCGCUAAGUCAUGUGCUGUUUCACCUGAUCCUUGUAACAUAUGUAGAUGUUAACUACAUUAUCAUACUCACUUAGAUGAGCACGCUGAAGCUUAGAGCACUUAAAGAAUUUGCCUCAACUUGUACUCUUACUGAAACACAGAGUUUAUGUUUAAAUCCAGGUGGUCCCACCCAGAACCUGCAUAAUGAACUACUUAUAUACAGUUUCUCCCCUUGUGGCCUGGAUUAUAGCUGCUCCCAAGGACUGAAUGGUUGCUGGGCCUCCACAGCUGAUGCUCAGCAGAUUUCUUUCUAGCACUUUCACAUAAUUUGGAUCUCAGUGAGUCACAUCCUAUAAUCGUUUUAUGAGAACAAAGUGGCAAAUAGCUAAUUUAAAAUUAUCCCUGUCAGAAGAAGAUAAGAAAAUUACGUGUGGGUUUGAUAAAAAACAUUUUAUAUCUCUUCUAAAACACUUGUUAAAUUUUAUCGAGAUGUGACCUUAUAAACUUAGACCUCUAAUGUCUCAGCAAGCUGUAUGCUCCGUGGGAAUUUGAAUUCCCACUCAAUAUUUAAUUUGUGUUAAUUAACUCAAUGUUUAAUUUUUUCUGUUUGUUUCCAUAGUCUUUAACAUUUUCUACAUGUGUUGACAAGAGGAAAUAUCUGACUACUACAUCACACAUUUUCUCUCUUGCCCUGCUGGUAGAGGUUUAAAGACAAGUGGAAUUGUCAAAAGUCAGGCAGAUUGAGCAAAACAAAACAAAACAAAAGGAAACAAAAACAAAGACACCUAUUAAUCCACAGCCUGGAAAGUGAACUAACACUUGUGCCCCCCUCUAUUUUUAAUUAAUCCAAUGUCAGAGCUCCUUCUCCCACCCUGUCUUUAUUUAUACAUCCUUUUAAUCAUUACUUCAGUUGCCAUUAUCUUCACUACUUCUGUUGCCACUCCCCAGAUUAAUCCUAGAAGUAGUAAUGAAAGAAAAAGAACCUCUUUCUUAGUUAUUUUAAAAUCAGUCCAUUAGGCCAUUUUUUUCAUUAGCACUUCAGCAGACACUCUGUAAAUAUCUACUAUAUUAUGGAGUCCAGUAAACAAAUCAGAGUGGGAAACACAGCAAAACAGAAGAUACAGGCAAGUGUAUCCAUAUGGAAGAUAACUGUGCUGCCAUUAAGUGGUGGAACACAGCAAGGGCAGUGAAUUGUUAUUACCACAUUUCACUGAUUGCUUUUGAAGUGCUCUUUAUCAUGGGGAAUUUUAAACAUAUACAAAAGUGGAAAGCCUGGUAAGUGAACUCCCAUACACUUACACUCACCCCAAAAGUCAGCAAACCCUGACCAGUUUUGUCACAUACUGUGUUAGUUAUCUAUUGGAGUAAAAUGAAUUGCCCCACAUUUCGCACUUUAAAACAACAUACAUUUACUAUCUCACAGUCUCCAUUUAGGGUUUAUGUGAGUCUUCUGGCGCUGGGUCCCUCACAAGACGGUAGUUACCUCAGACCUUACCUGCGGGGUCCACUUUUAAGCUCACUCAAGUGGUUGUUGGUUACUCAGGAGAACUCUUGGUGGAGGCUUCCCCCUGUUGCCUCCCAUGUGGACGUCUCUGUAGAACAUUUCACAACAUGGCAGCUUGCUUCAUCAGACUGCCCACAAGAAAGAGAGCAAGAGAGAGUGAGCAUGACAGGGAGUCACAGUCUUUGGAACAUAAUCAUAGAAAAGUAUCCAAUCAUCUUUGCCAAAUUCUACCCUUGAGAAAAAAGUCACCAAGUCCAGCCCACACUCAAGGGGAAGGGAUUACUUAUGGGUGUAACUACCAGAAGGUAGGAACUACUGGGGGCUAUUUUAAGAGUCUGUUCAUCACACACACAUAUUCACAUUCCUUCUACCCUCUCAGAUUAUUGUGAAGCAAUCCCCAAUUUCAUAUCACAUCUUCUGUAACUGUUUUGGAAUGUAUCCCUAAAAGAUAGAAUUCUUUUGAAAAAUACAUAACUGAAGUGUCAUUAUUACACCUAAAAUUUAAUAGUAAUUCUCUAAUAUUUUUAAAUAUCCAGGUUUGAAUCUGCAUCCUCAUGGAUCAUUAACCUCUGAGCCACGAUGAAGGGAACUCCCAGACAGUAGUUUGUUUGACCUGUUGUUUCCUGCAGUGUGAGUUUUGCUGAUUGGAAUCCUGGGUUAAAGUUUCACAUAUAAAUUGAUAAGUAUUAUAAAUUGAUAAGUAUAGAUUUUAAAAUGGUGUUUUUUUGGAUAUUUUAUUUAUUUCAUUAUAGCUGGUUUACAGUGUUCUGUCAAUUUUCUACUGUACAGCGUGUUUACCCGGUUACACAUUCAUGUACUGAUUCAUCAGAAGUGAUUAGACUUAGUUCCCAGUCUAUACAGCAGACUCUCAUUGCCCAUCCAUUCCAAAGGCAACAGUUUUACACAUUGAAGUAAAGGUGCAUCUUACCAUCAAAGGCUUUAUGUAUUUUCUCAGGUGUCAGUUUUGAUACUGUUUUCAUUGCUUCAGCAUGAGCAAACUUGUCUUGACUUUAUCGUUAUCACUUCAGUUGAAUUAUGUGCAUUGAUCCUAUUACAUAGAUUGAGUUUAAUUACUAUUAAAGGUUUUUUUUUUUUUUUUUUUUUUUUGCAAAAAGAUUAUUCUGUGAUUUUACACUGAAAGAAAAGGUUACUGUGAUGGUAGGAGAACAGAACAGAACAGAGGGGAGUGCAUUUGAUUCAUUGAGGACUGGGCCACUAUGAUCCCUUGGUGUUUCAGACUGUAAACCAAAUGAAGGACAUUUGAAGAAGGAAUAUAAAUCCUGAUGUCUGAAAUGGAUCAAGAAAUUAGCAUCCUUGAAAAUUUCAUAGUCAAUAGCAGAAUACUUUUAAGUUGUUUUAAAGAUAUUUUUUAUGUUUCAAUAAAAUAGUAUGGAAAAACACACAUUAAUGGCUUGAAUAUAAAAGUGAUUCCUUUUGGAUUCUUUUUAGUUUUAGUUUUUCAGAAUAUUCUGUUGGCUUUGGUAAAUACUAAGUGAAAACAAUACUAAAAAAAUUGCAUCACCAGUGUUAGUCUAAUUAAGGCACAGGAAAAAGACUGAAAGAAAAUACAUCAAAUUGCUACCAAUGUGAUGAGAUUCCGGGACAUGUAUUUUUCCUUUAUAUCUUGUUAUUGUUUUCCUGAAAUGUUUACAAUGAACAAGAAUACCUUUUAAAAUCGAGGAAAGAAACCUCACUAAAUAUUAUUGUUGUAAAAGCACCAUGUCAGAGAAGUGACUAA